This 355-nucleotide small RNA is filed under the name Histoplasma ohiense. Its description in RNAcentral is "hypothetical lncRNA". Lineage: Eukaryota; Fungi; Ascomycota; Eurotiomycetes; Onygenales; Ajellomycetaceae. The record is from RNAcentral.
GGCUGGAGCAUCAUCCCCCCCAGUGCCGCUGGGUCGGCCAGAGCACGUGGUGGGGAUCGAAACCGGGCGCAAAAAGCAGAAAUCCCCAUCUUGUUCAAGCUCAUGCAGGUACCUGCGUUGUCCAGGCACAAGCCCUCGCCGAAUUUUAAUCAGACUAAUACGAAUAUGGCUAAUGCGGUGUGAUUCCAACUUUUAACAACAAAAAAAAAAAAACAACCAAGCUCGGUCAUCCCCGAAUACACAAAAUGUAUAGAAUUUACUAGCGGUUUUUUUUUCCUUGUUUUGUGUGCUCUCUAUUUUGCUCUCUCUUUUUUUUUUUUGGUCGGGUUUGUUUUGUUUUUUGCAGCACAGCCAC